UUUAAAGAGGUACGCGAGCUGGGUUUAGAACGUCGUGAGACAGUUCGGUCCCUAUCUGCCGUGGGCGCUGGAGAAUUGAGGGGGGCUGCUCCUAGUACGAGAGGACCGGAGUGGACGCAUCACUGGUGUUCGGGUUGUCAUGCCAAUGGCACUGCCCGGUAGCUAAAUGCGGAAGAGAUAAGUGCUGAAAGCAUCUAAGCACGAAACUUGCCCCGAGAUGAGUUCUCCCUGAGACUUUAAGUCUCCUGAAGGAACGUUGAAGACGACGACGUUGAUAGGCCGGGUGUGUAAGCGCAGCGAUGCGUUGAGCUAACCGGUACUAAUGAACCGUGAGGCUUAACCUUACAACGCCGAAG
RNAcentral lists this ribosomal RNA (356 nucleotides) under Acinetobacter baumannii. Its description in RNAcentral is "partial 23S ribosomal RNA". It matches the Rfam family "Bacterial large subunit ribosomal RNA", at positions 2587 to 2925 of the family's 2925-position model. Lineage: Bacteria; Pseudomonadati; Pseudomonadota; Gammaproteobacteria; Moraxellales; Moraxellaceae. The record is from RNAcentral.